This 468-nucleotide ribosomal RNA is filed under the name uncultured bacterium. RNAcentral's name for it is "partial 16S ribosomal RNA". It matches the Rfam family "Bacterial small subunit ribosomal RNA", at positions 28 to 507 of the family's 1533-position model. The record is from RNAcentral.
GACGAACGCUGGCGGCGUGCUUAACACAUGCAAGUCGAACGGAAAGGCCCUGCUUUUGUGGGGUGCUCGAGUGGCGAACGGGUGAGUAACACGUGAGUAACCUGCCCUUGACUUUGGGAUAACUUCCGGAAACUGGGGCUAAUACCGGAUAGGAGCUCCUGCUGCAUGGCGGGGGUUGGAAAGUUUCGGCGGUGGGGGAUGGACUCGCGGCUUAUCAGCUUGUUGGUGGGGUAGUGGCUUACCAAGGCUUUGACGGGUAGCCGGCCUGAGAGGGUGACCGGCCACAUUGGGACUGAGAUACGGCCCAGACUCCUGCGGGAGGCAGCAGUGGGGAAUAUUGCACGAUGGGCGGAAGCCUGAUGCAGCAACGCCGCGUGCGGGAUGACGGCCUUCGGGUUGUAAACCGCUUUCGCCUGUGACGAAGCGUGAGUGACGGUAAUGGGUAAAGAAGCACCGGCUAACUACGUG